GGGGCGCCUGGGUGGCUCAUUCUGUUAAGCAUCCGACUCUUGAUCUCUGCUCAGGUCUUGAUCUAAAGGUCGUGAGCUCAAGCUCCAUUUUGGGCUUCAUGCUGGGCAUGCAGCUUACU
Long non-coding RNA from Mustela erminea (ermine), 119 nucleotides. RefSeq lists it as uncharacterized. NCBI's taxonomy places the organism in Eukaryota, Metazoa, Chordata, Mammalia, Carnivora, Mustelidae. The transcript is spliced from 3 exons. The record is from RefSeq and is a predicted model, not a curated record.